This 292-nucleotide ribosomal RNA is filed under the name uncultured bacterium. RNAcentral describes it as "partial 16S ribosomal RNA". It matches the Rfam family "Bacterial small subunit ribosomal RNA", at positions 505 to 796 of the family's 1533-position model. The record is from RNAcentral.
GUGCCAGCAGCCGCGGUAAUACGUAGGCAGCGAGCGUUGUACGGAAUUACUGGGCGUAAAGAGUGUGUAGGCGGUGUUCCCAGUCUGUUGUGAAAUCUCCCGGCUUAACUGGGAGGGUGCAGCGGAAACUAGAAUGCUAGAGGGUGGGAGAGGUAAGCGGAAUUCCUGGUGUAGCGGUGAAAUGCGUAGAUAUCAGGAGGAACACCUGUGGUGUAGACAGCUUACUGGACCACUUCUGACGCUGAGACACGAAAGCGUGGGUAGCAAACAGGAUUAGAUACCCCCGUAGUCC